RNAcentral lists this ribosomal RNA (251 nucleotides) under uncultured prokaryote. RNAcentral describes it as "partial 16S rRNA". It matches the Rfam family "Bacterial small subunit ribosomal RNA", at positions 525 to 775 of the family's 1533-position model. The record is from RNAcentral.
ACGGAGGGUGCGAGCGUUAAUCGGAAUCACUGGGCGUAAAGCGCACGUAGGCGGUGUCGUAAGUCGGAUGUGAAAGCCCUCGGCUCAACCGGGGAACUGCAUUCGAUACUGCGAGGCUUGAGUGCCGGAGAGGGUGGCGGAACUCCAGGUGUAGGAGUGAAAUCCGUAGAUCCCUGGAGGAACACCAGUGGCGAAGGCGGCCACCUAGACGGGAUCUGACGCUGAGGGGCGAAAGCGUGGGGAUCAAACAG